GUGCUCCCGUUAGCAGCACAUAUACUAAAAUUGGAAUGAUACAGAGAAGAUUAGCAUGGUUCCUGCAUAAGGAUGACGUGCUACUUUGUGAAGCAUUUCAUAUUUUU
This 107-nucleotide small nuclear RNA is filed under the name Sciurus vulgaris (Eurasian red squirrel). Lineage: Eukaryota; Metazoa; Chordata; Mammalia; Rodentia; Sciuridae. The record is from RNAcentral.